GACGAACGCUGGCGGCGUGCUUAACACAUGCAAGUCGAACGGAAAGGCCCCCACCUUGUGGGGGUGCUCGAGUGGCGAACGGGUGAGUAACACGUGGGUGAUCUGCCCUGUACUUCGGGAUAAGCUUGGGAAACUGGGUCUAAUACCGGAUAGGACCAUGGUUUAGUGUCUCAUGGUGGAAAAAUUAUUGUUUUGGUGCAGGAUGAGCUCGCGGCCUAUCAGCUUGUUGGUGGGGUAAUGGCCUACCAAGGCGUCGACGGGUAGCCGGCCUGAGAGGGUGGACGGCCACAUUGGGACUGAGAUACGGCCCAGACUCCUACGGGAGGCAGCAGUGGGGAAUAUUGCACAAUGGGCGCAAGCCUGAUGCAGCGACGCCGCGUGGGGGAUGACGGCCUUCGGGUUGUAAACUCCUUUCGUUAGGGACGAAGCCACACCUUUUUUGGGUGUGGUGACGGUACCUUUGUUAAGAAGCACCGGCUAACUACGUG
This 488-nucleotide ribosomal RNA is filed under the name uncultured bacterium. Its description in RNAcentral is "partial 16S ribosomal RNA". It matches the Rfam family "Bacterial small subunit ribosomal RNA", at positions 28 to 507 of the family's 1533-position model. The record is from RNAcentral.